This 358-nucleotide ribosomal RNA is filed under the name Fuligo septica var. flava. RNAcentral's name for it is "SSU rRNA". It matches the Rfam family "Bacterial small subunit ribosomal RNA", at positions 570 to 930 of the family's 1533-position model. The record is from RNAcentral. Lineage: Eukaryota; Evosea; Eumycetozoa; Physariida; Physaraceae.
CGUAGGCGAAUAAUUAAAAACACAGUAAAAGACUGAGGAAGAACCUCUUUAAUCUGUGUUCACUGAUUAUUUUGAGUGCUAAUGGCGGUUUUAGAAUUCUUGAAGUAAGGGUUAAAUUGUUGAUAUAGGAAGACUUUCGAUAGCGAAGGCAUUUACCGAGUUAGCUCUGACGCUAGGUACUAAAGCUUGGGUAGAAAGAGGAUUAGAGACCUCGUAGUCCUUGCCUUAAACAAUGAGUGUUCAACGUCUUAUAAGCCACGAGGCUUAUUGGGGGUUUAAAGCUAACGCGUGAAACACCGCCUGGGGAAUGUGGCCGCAAGGUCUAAACUCAAAGGAAUUGACGGAGGCUCAUACAAGG